Molecule: long non-coding RNA, 3294 nt
Organism: Pavo cristatus (Indian peafowl)
Lineage: Eukaryota; Metazoa; Chordata; Aves; Galliformes; Phasianidae
Source: Ensembl
AUGGCGGCGGGUCCGGCAGCGAGGGGAGCGCACUGCCGUCGUCGUCGUCGUCCUCCUCCUCCUCCUCCUCCUCUUCUCUUGCCCCCUGCGGUGAGAUGGCAAUGGGAUUCGGCCCCUGCCCCGCUUGGACGCCGUCGCCGCCUCCCCCUUCCCGGGUCCCCCCUCCCUCAGCAGGUGAGCACGUCGCUGCGCCUGCGCGGCCAACGUGGAGCCGAGAGCUCGGGGCGGUACGGGGCGCAGCGAGGCACAAACUUCCCCCGGGAAUUCGCUGCCCUCCCCACGCUCGGGCCCGGCCCGGCUGCGGGGGUGGUUCAGGGCCCGCCCCCAGGGGCCUCGGGCGGGUGCGGGAAGGGAGUGCAGUGACGUUGGUUGGGAGGAUGGGUGGGUAGGCACCGACAAAUGCAUGGUGCGGCGAGACAGAGCCGAGAUGUGGCUGGAAACCGGUUAAAGGAUCUUCAUCGGAGGGCGCGGAACGGGCUCCCCAGGGCAGUGGUCACCGUCCUAGGUUGUUGGAGUUCAAGGAGCGUUUGGACAAUGCUCUCAUACAUUGGGUUUGGAUUUUGGGUGGUCCUGUGUGGAGACAGAACUCGAUAAUCCUCGCGGGUCCCUUCCAACUCGGGAUAUCCUGUAAUCCUAUGACUCACCAAAACGCCACUCUGAGGUUUCUAAACCCUUCCUUGUGUGACGAAGCUCUUCUCUGAGGCGCCCAUUGCUGGGUGUGUGAAGGUCUGUCGAAAACACACUGGCUUGCUGGCAGCCACCUCGUGAAACCUUUUGUGUCCUAUUCUAUUUGCAAACCUGAGGUGUGUUAUUUACAAAUAGGAUGUGAAUAAAGCAUCACUAUUGCGGUUUUCUAUUUGAAACUGGGUGGGAGAUGUUCUUGGCCACUUUGCAGAAACUUUAGAUUAGUUGCUGGAUUUUUUUUAUUGUUAUUAUUUUUACUGUGUGUGUGUGUGUGUUCAGUUCUCUCAGUGAGACACAGAGAGCUAUUAAAGCAGCUGCCAUUCAUUCUCCAACAAUAGGAUUAUUUCAAAACUGCCAUGUUGCCAAUGAUGUCAUAUGAAGGCUAGAAAUACAUGAUGGGAUUUGCAAGAAAUGUUGAACCAUGAGUCUUCUAUAUAGCACUGCUCUAUGAAGAAUGUACUUGACAAUCACAAGCAUCCUGACAUGUUUGUACUGAAAUACAUUGCUGUCAUUUUUAAGUAAUUUGAGGGAAAAAAAAGUGUGUAGAUGGAUAGUUUGCUGUGCACUGACCACAAAGUGAGCAAGAUACAUUCACAGCAAAUAUAUAUAUAGUUUUUCCUAAUUUUUUGCUACAUGUGAAAAAAAAAUAAUUUUCAACAGUCUAUUUUGUAGUAGGUAAACUGAAAGACUGGUUGUGAUGCUUAUGUAUAGGUAGACUUGGAAACAGAGGUCUAGGAAAGAGUUUCUGAGAUUAAUAGGGCAAAAAUACCUGAAGAGCAGCCCACAAGGAAAUGAGGUAGAAUGGGUGAUUAUAUUUAACUGUGGUUUUAAAAAAGAAAAAUCUGCUACUUGUGUCAGAUGGCUUCUAUUCCCUCUAAACCUGGCAUGCACAGACCAUUCCCAGGCAGCAAGUGAGGGCACUGCCCAAGGAGCGCUCUGGGAAACUCUCCAACCACUGCACCUCCACCCUCACCUCCAGCCUCCCAACACAUCCCUGGUUACCACACCUCUGUGCUUUUCACCUGUAAUUACACUCCAAUUUUAAAUAUGUCACUAAAUGUACUGUGUGAAUUUGAUGGCUAUAUGCAUAUUAAAAGGAAACUAACUCAUACAGCCAUCAGAUAGAAAAGCAGAGCUUACAGCUGCCUUUCGUCUUGCAGGGCAUUAUUAUGCUGGUGGACUAUCUGUCCAGAUAUCAAUGGGGUAAGUCAAGUUUUUCUUCCUUUCUCUAACCAUGUCUUCUACUACUAUUGCCACUGUCUGCCCUUUCUUUUGUCAUUUUUCCUUCACUUUUUUUUUUUUUUUUUUUUUUUUUAGCAUUUAUAGCUUUGUUCAUUCUUUCAUAAAAUGUACAAAACAUGAAAGCAAGCUCGGUAUUAUUUCCUUGGAAAAUUUAGUUGUUGUGUUCUGAAUAUAUAUAUUCAAAUUCUGAAGAUAUAUCUGAUAAUUCCACAAAAUAUGUUCAUAAACCUUCAAAUUUUGUAGUGUCUGGGCAGGUUUGAUUAAAACAUAUUGCAGUAUACAAAGAAUUUACUCCGAGCUCAGUGAAGUCCUGGGGGAAUUGUCUGGAAUCACAUUAAUUCCCACCCCUUCUGGGUGACAAAACCCUUUAUGUAACUGAAUAGUACUUUAUUUCUAGAGGGUAAGUCAGUGGAAGAUAAAUGUAUUCUGCACAGUUCUGGAUAUGGUAGAUAAUCAAGAAUAAAAGUCUGUUCCUAAGUGAAUCUGUAGCAGUUGUUAAUGUAUCUCCGUGGGAAUGGAAACUGAGCAUUAAUGUAAAAGACUGUGUUUUCAUAGCAGUCUAGACUUCCCUAAUUGUCAGUAACAGGGGCCCACAUAUCCCUGCAGUCCCAUUCCUCACCUUGUGCUAGAGCCAGAGCUUGUCAGGCCUUUCCUCCAGCCAUUGCUGUAUGUUGAUUUUGCAGAAAACUGAACUGACAAAAGAGCAAAUAACUUUCUGCUGACUUACUGUGCUGAGUCUCUCGACUGCAGGAAAGACAGAGGCAGCCAAAAGCUGGAUAGCUUUACAUUGCCGGAGCUCUUAUUUCAGAUCACUCAGGAAUGUACGGUCUUUGCUGAGCAAUUUGCUUAAUUUUAAACUGAAGUAAUCCCACUAAGUGCUAUUUCAAGGUUAGCUAACAAGCGGCUCUGUUUCUCAAUCAGUAACUUAUCUUGGCUGCUAAUGACAGUAUUCAUGAGAUGGCCUCUAGUCAGCCUAACCUGAUUUUCAAAAUGCUCUCCUUAAGUUAUUGCAGCUCUGUGGAAGUCACAAGAAAGCCCUGGGGAUGAAUUAUGAAUGUGGCUUUCAAUACUCUUUUCCACACCUCAACUCCAAUUACUUUGUGAAAAAUGUAUGAAUUUGCUAACAGCUAGUUCUUUCAAUCCGCUCCUCCAUCACAAAUAUGGAAAGACAUAAAAGAAGGAAGCAUCACGUAUGUGUCACUUCUGAUAACUUUUUAUGUUGGCUCAUAUUUUUUGAAAGGAGGUUUGUCAUCAAGAAUGCUUGAAUUUUUCUUUAUAUCAUCAUCACGUUGUUAAAAGAAUGUCUGAUAAAAACAUUACUAUUACUCCUACCGAAUCUUAUUUGACAUGGAAGAAAUUGCUAUAAAA